UCGGAGAAAACGUUACCUGUGAGAACUCU
This 29-nucleotide non-coding RNA is filed under the name Rattus norvegicus (Norway rat). Lineage: Eukaryota; Metazoa; Chordata; Mammalia; Rodentia; Muridae. The record is from RNAcentral.